ACUGUAAAGCGCUUUGGGCCUUCGAAAGAAGGUAGAAAGCGCUAUAUAAGUAUACGCCAUUUACCAUUUAAUCACAAUGAGCAUAAAGAGCAAUUUGCUAUUUUUUCUUUUACUUGUGUUAGCUUACAAAAAUAGUUUAACAUCUGUUAUGCAAACUUACCUGACACUACUACUGAAAUAAGAUGUGUUCAUAUGCUGGAUUGGUUCAGUCUAGUUUUUAUAGAAAAUUUUAAUAUGUAAAUAAAAUGACUUUUAUAUUGGAGUAGAAAACUGCAUUAUUACAAGCAGGGUGGUUUAAGGAGUUCAAAGUGGUAAGAAGGCGUUGCUGAUUGGACGGUUGCUGCGUUUUGAAUCUCCCGCUCAUUUCCUGAUACGGAUUCAGUCAGUCGUCCUGGUCGGUCAACGCAAGGAGAUUCUGCACUUCUGUCGCACCGUUCAUCCAGGCCAUUUAUUGAUAUCAAGGUCACCUGCAGCUUCACUCAAGUUGUCGUGACAGACUCGCCGAUAUAGAUUUCAUGUCAGCAGUUGUUGCUGUGGUUGGAGUAAUUGGGGAUGCAACCAGAAGAAUGAUGGGCUUCCUCAUGUCCAAUGAGUUGGCUCUGCAAUAUAACCUGUUUGGCCGUCAUGGAGAGAAUAAAUUCUGCUAGCUGCGUCUUUUUGAUGUCUUCUGUGGUAAUUAGAGUUGAAUUUAUUAAUCUAUAUUCAUCACUGACAAAUGAUUUAGUAAAUUUAAUCCCAGGCUAAAAUGAAUACUUUGUUUUUUGUGAUUUCAUUUUAGGGGCAGUGAAGAAAAAUGCCAUCACCCAACCAGUCCCACUAAAGGAAGUGGAGAAGGGCCUCUCCAAAUGGUUUGUUGGAGCUCGUGACAGGGGAGAAAACUGAGCUAUAAGGACUCAAAGAGAGCUUGAAUAACAAGCCGAUGGAGCUUGUUCUCAGGAACCGUCAAGGAUGCCAUAAGUAUUUUGUUUUACUGGAUUUAUUUAUUUUUUCGUCACAUAAUUGGCACACAUUAAGGUUGUUCAUAUUGUACUGUACCAAGUGAAGUUGUUCUUUAUUUUAUUAAGUAACUGUAGUAUGUUAGAUCCUGUGUGUUAUCUGUUAAACCUUUGGGUGACCUUGCCAUGGUCUUGUAUCUCGUUUUCAUAAUGCAGGAUCAGGAUAAUUUAUUUUCUUUUAUUAAAUUG
This is a non-coding RNA of Oryzias latipes (Japanese medaka), 1184 nucleotides long. Lineage: Eukaryota; Metazoa; Chordata; Actinopteri; Beloniformes; Adrianichthyidae. The record is from RefSeq and is a predicted model, not a curated record.